GUGUUGCCAACAUCAGACAUUUCCCAGCUCCGGUGUCGCCAACGUCAGACGAUUCCCAGCUCCAAUGUUAUCUGAGGUCGGAUGAUUCCCAGCUCCGACGUCCUCCCCAACAUUGGACAUUUCCCAGCUCCGGUGUCGCCAACGUCAGACGAUUCCCAGCUCCAAUGUUAUCUGAGGUCGGAUGAUUCCUGGCUCCGACAUCCCCAACGUUGGAUGUUUCCCAGCUCUGGUGUUGCUCCAGGUCGGACAUUUCCCAGCUCCGGUGUCACCAACGUCAGACGAUUCCCAGCUCCAAUGUUAUCUGAGAUCGGAUGAUUCCCAGCUCCGAUGUCCCCAAAGUAGGACAAUUCCCAGCUCUGAUGUUAUCUGAGGUCAGAUGAUUCUUGGCUCCGACGUCCCCAACGUUGGAUGUUUCCCGGCUCCGGUGUUGCUCCAGGUUGGACGUUUCCCAGCUCCGGUGCCGCCAACGUCGGACAAUUCCCAGCUCUGAUAUUAUCUGAGGUCGGAUGAUUCUUGGCUCCAACGUCCUCAACGUUGGGUGUUUCCCGGCUCCAGUGUUGCUCCAGGUUGGAUGUUUCCCGGCUCCGGUGUCGCCAACAUUGGACAUUUCCCAGCUCCGGUGUCGCCAACGUCAGACAAUUCCCAGCUCUAAUGUUAGCUGAGAUCAGAUGAUUCCCAGCUCCGACGUCCCCAACGUUGGCGUUUCCCAGCUCCGGUGUUGCUCCAGGUUGGACGUUUCCCAGCUCCGGUGCCGCCAACGUCAGACGAUUCCCAGCUCCAAUGUUAGCUGAGAUCAGAUGAUUCCCAGCUCCGACGUCCCCAACGUUGGACGUUUCCCAGCUCCGGUGUUGCUCCAGGUUGGAUGUUUCCCAGCUCCGGUGUCGCCAACGUCAGACGAUUCCCAGCUCCAAUGUUAUCUGAGGUCAGAUGAUUCCCAGCUCCGAUGUCCCCAAAGUUGGACGAUUCCCGGCUCUUGGUGUCCCCCCAGGUUGGAUGUUUCCCAGCUCCGAUGUCCCCAACAUCGGAGGUUUCCCAGCUCCAAUGUCACCCCAGGUCCGAUGUCUGCUGGCUCCAGUGUCCCCAACAUCAGACGCUUCCCGGCUCCGAUGUCCCCAACAUCAGACGUUUCCCGGCUCCGGGGGACCCUCAAGGUCAGACGUUCCCCGAUUUCAGCGUCCCCCCAGGUCGGACGUUGCCCAGCUCCGAUGUUCCUCGUGUCGGAUGUUUCCUGACUCCAAUGGCCCCAACGUCGGACACUUCCCAUCUCCGAUGUCCCCAACGUUGGGCUUUUCCUGGCUCCGACGUCCCUCCGGGUCAAGCCGUUGGCUGGCGCUGCCGGUUUCGGUGUUCGUUGACUCUGGUGGACCUCCAGGUCGGACAUCCGUUGGCUCCGGCAUCCGCUUGGGUGUCGGCCGGCUCCGGCGUCCCCCAACUCGGACAUUUCCCGGCUCCGACGUCUCCCACGUUGGACGCUCGCCGGCGCCGCCGGUUUUGGUGUCGGCCGGAUUCAAUAUCGGCCGGUUUUGGUGUCCACCAGCUCCGACACCUGCGGGUCGGACACUGCCUGUCCCCGUCACCCCGUUUUCCGUCCCCGUCGCCCCGUUUUCCGUCUCCGCCGCCCGCCGGCUUCAACGUCCCCCCAGGUGAGACGUUUCCCAGUGCCAAAACCCGCCGGUUUUGGUGUUUGCCAGCUCCAACAUCUGCCGGUUUUGGUGUCCACCAGCUCCGGCACCCGCAGGUGGGACAUUUCCCGGCUCCGUCACCCGUUGGCUUCAACGUCCUCCAGCUCGGAUGUUUUCCAGUGCCAAAAAACACUGGUUUUGGUGUCCACCAGCUCCAACAUCUCCUGAUUUUGGUGUCUGCCACCUCCAACAUCUGCCAGUUUUGGUGUCCGCCAGCUCCAACAUCUGUUUUUGGUGUCCGCCAGCUCCAACAUCUGCCAGUUUUGGUGUCCACCAGCUCCAACAUCUCCUGGUUUUGGUGUCCACCAGCUCCAACAUCUGGUUUUGGUGUCCGCCAGCUCCAACAUCUCCUGAUUUUGGUGUCCACCAACAUCUGGUUUUGGUGUCCACCAGCUCCAACACCUGCCAGUUUUGGUGUCCACCAGCUCCAACAUCUGCCGGUUUUGGUGUCCACCAGCUCCAACACCUGCAGCUUGGACAUCUCCUAUUGCCACCACCAGCCGGCUUCAAUGUCCUCCAGAUUAGACAUUUCCCAGUGCCAAAAACUGCCGGUUUUGGUGUCCGCCAGCUCCAACAUCUGCUGGUUUUGGUGUCUGCUGGCUCCAACACCUGCCGGUUUUGGUGUCCACCAGCUCCAACACCUGCAGCUUGGACAUCUCUCAUCUCUGCCACCAGUCAGCAUCAACGUCCUCCAGAUUAGAUAUUUCCUGGUGCCGAAAACUGCCGGUUUUGGUGUCCACCAGCUCCAACACCUGCAGCUUGGACAUCUCCCAUUGCUACCGUCAACCAGCUUCAAUGUCCUCCAGAUUGGACACUUCCCGGUGCCGGAAACUGCCGGUUUUGGUGUCCGCCAGCUCCAACACCUGCCGGUUUUGGUGUCCGCCAGCUCCAACAUCUGCCAGUUUUGGUGUCCACCAGCUCCAACAUCUGCCAGUUUUGGUGUCCGCCAGCUCCAACAUCUGGUUUUGGUGUCCGCCAGCUCCAACAUCUCCUGAUUUUGGUGUCUGCCAGCUCCAACACCCGCAGGUCGGACAUUUCCCACCUCCGCUGCCCGUCGCCUUCAACGUCCCUCGGCUCGGACGCUUCCCGCUGCCAAAACCGGCCGUUUCGGGUGUUUGCCGGCUCCGGCGUCCGCUGAUCCCAACACCCGCGGGCCGGACGUCGCCCGUCUCCGCCGGCUUUCGACGUCUCCCGGCUGCCGCUCGCCGAAAACGCCGGGUUUGGGGGGGGGCGGAAACGCCGACCGGCUCCACCGCCCUCGGCGUCCGCCGGCGCCGGGGGUUUUUUUUUGGAUUUUAUUGUUAUUUAUUAAUUCCAGAGGGGAAAAAAGGGGGGAAAACAGGCGCGAGGAGGCGGCAGCCGGCGGCGGCGGCGGCAGCGGGGGGUCACGU
Apteryx owenii (little spotted kiwi) is the source of this 3073-nucleotide long non-coding RNA. Lineage: Eukaryota; Metazoa; Chordata; Aves; Apterygiformes; Apterygidae. The record is from Ensembl.